UCUCGAAUAUAAUAAUAAUACUAAUAAUUUAGCUUUCUUUUUGUUUGUUAUUAAGAAAGAAAAAAAACAAGGAAAUCGAAUACAAAGUCUUUCAAAAAAAAAAGAAGAAAAACCGAAACGAGAUGAUAAUCUUACGUCUUUUUUUCUGUCUAAAAAUAAAUAACGAAAUGAUAAAUUUAGCAUUUUUCAAUAGGUACUAACGGGCAUUAUAGAUGGCCGCAGUAUGUUAGAUUGGAUGUAUUUCAUAUAUGUUUCUGUUCCGAAAAUAGAAACAAAAAUUAAUUAAGAGGAUGCGCUACGUUGGUGAUAGGUUUACAUUUAUUUAUAUGUUACGUUUUCUUCGUCUUCGCCUCUUCCAUCAUUUUUAUUAGCCAAUCUAUUAUGGGGCGACGAUAUCUUCAAGCUUAUUAAAGUCUAUUUUCGAGACAAUCCCCCCAUGUAGUUUCGAAACUACUGUGUUUCCAUGACGAAACACGGCAUCUUUUUAAGAGUCCCACAUAUCGUUACACAUUUUAUGUUUUUUGCACCACCACCACCACCGUUAACACAGACGGAACGACAUCAACAUCUCAAGAAAACUUUCAGAUUAAUUUUUUUCGCUUUGACUUUUGUCCACAUUUCACAUCGACUCGACUCAUUUAAUUACGAUUCUUUAUGAGAUAUGAAUGGUUUGUUCGAUGGUGAUAGCUGGAUGUAGGGAGGACGAUUCUUUUUUUCUUUCUUUUCAAAUUGCGCACAAUGUGUGAAAGUUACAUUCGGUAAAUCAAGGUCUCGCGCUUAGAGAAAGUUUUUUUUUUGUUUUGUUUGUCUCACUAUGUGGUGUGGACACCCUCCAAUUUUCUUAGAAUUAAUCUAUUUACGCAUAGGUAGAUAUAAUCUUGUCAUAAUGAAUGAUCAGCUUUAUCAUAUAUAAUACCAAUUGCAAGUAGAACACGUCGAUGAAUCAAAAUAUAGAACCUCCGGAACCCUUCUAACUUUUGAAGUCGAAUCUAUCAUUUAACAGGGCCGAACUGGGUCACAAAGUCUUCGGGCGUUGUAUGAAGAUAAUUAGUAAAAAGCCCGUCGUUGCUCUUCAUUCAUACAAAAAUCAAAAGCACUUGCAGCAGCCCAUAUAGCCAGUCCGAGUCUGUUAUUUAAUAAGUGCAGAAUUUCCGGUUCUUUCAAGUAUAAGAAUUUUGUUAAUGCAAAUAUCUAUCAGUAAAUCAGGUGUUAGCACAAAUUUUAUCGAUAAAUAAUAAUUUAAAUUCACAACACGCCCCUACCCAGCUGAAGCGAAAAUCCAGUCUAACCAACCUUUCUUUAACACAUAAAUUUUGAUAAAAUAAUUUAAAAAAAAGAAAAACAAACCGAAAAAACAACAAAUCCAAAUAAUUUCCAGGAAGUUCCCUCAAAUCAAAUAACUCGAAAAUCAAACGAAUCAUCGCCAUUACAGUGAAAAAUCAACUCAACAGAAAACCACACACCAAUAACACAGUCCAAAGUGUGUUUUUGGGGAAAAUUUGUAUUUUAAACGGAGGGAAAAAAAACUCUUUAAUCGAAUUCGGUUCAACUGAUAUGAUAUGCGACUUUUCGAUGGGAUUAUUAUUCCGAAUUAAAAUUCUCUAAAAAUUUUUGGAAAAUUCAAUCGCAAAAUAGAAAAUCUGAAUCAUAAAAUUCUUUAAAGAAAAUUACAAAAUUCCUUUAAAAAAAUUGUUUUGUCGAUUUUCCCAGCCCUUUAAUUCUGAAUAAUAAGCCCUGAAGCACGCAAGAAUUAGUUGAAUACAUAACAGUGGUAACGAUAAAUGGAUUAUGUUAUUGUGUCGACAUAUUUUGCAUUUUAUUAAACUUGUACAAGUCAUCUAGUCUCACGCAUAUAACAUUAAUAACCACAUCCUAAUUCCAUCAAUUACAAAUAAAUUUCGAUUAAAAACACGAGUCGAUCCCGAACGUAGCGCAUCCCCUUAAUAUAAUAAAUAAAUUAAAUCCGAUUUAAACUGGAAAACAUGGCUUUAGUGGAAAGGGUGUUACCAAAAUAUUACACACACACACACACAUGAAAAUUUACGAUAUUUGUUUUCUUUGUUAUAAUUAAAAUCGAAGCUUUAAUUAUUGCCAAAUAAUGUGAAACAAAAUGUUAAUUUUAUUUUAAAUAAAUGAAAAAAGAUUAAAAAAAAUUGCACCAAAGAGCAUAUUGUUGUUGAUGAUGAAUUUUAAUUGUAUUCAGUCGAAUUUUAUAUUUAAAUAAAAUCUCGAUUUUGUUCUAUACAUCAAAAAAGAGGAAAAUUUUAUUUUUUAUUUUUGUUGUAAAAAAAAGAUGGGAAAACAGAGAGAGAUAGAUAAUUAUUAAUUGCUUAUUUACCAUUUCCAUGUCAAUAGUAGUCAUAACAUAAAAACAUAACAACAAAACAAACAAAAAUAUUUAAAAUAAAUAUUAAUUCCCCAAAGAGCAUUUAUAUUUAAAAAAAAGGAAAAAAAUAAAAACAAAACCAAUGAAAGAUAGAGAAAAACGAAAAGGAAGCAAAGGAGAAGAAAAAUGUGAGCGGUAGAUAAAUUUAAAUAAAAUGGUAAAUAAAAAUUGAAAGAUUAAAAAAAUUUGCAAAGCACAAAAACGAACUAUAAAAAAUUAUUUAUAAAUUAGUAAAAAUAAAAGUAAAGAAAAAAUGAGAGAAAAAAAAUUGUAAAUAAAUUAACAUUUAGAAUAAUGUAAUACGAUCUGACCAUAAAAAAACUUAUAAUAAUAAUAAAUUAACAAAAGAAAAUAAAGUCAAAUUAAAAAUCUAUAUUUUCUUGCAUCAUAGCAGUACAUACACUCAUUAAUAUGGAGAAAACUUUAUAGUUGUAACAUAUAAAACAACCAAAAAAAUGAAAGAAAAUGAAAGAAUUUGUCUACAAGAAAACUUUCUAAAGUUGAAGUAAAAAAGUUUAAUUUCCAAUUUCAAGUGUUGCUUUUGACAAUUUUAUCAAAUGAGCACAAGUAACUUCAGAAUAAUUAGCGAAAGACUCAUCAUGUAGAUAUGGAUCAUUGUCAAAUAGCGGCUCACGCCUGAAAUUGCAUGGAAUAUUUCGUAAUGGCGUCUCACCUACCAGAUGAGUUUCUAUAAUGUGUUGAGCAUAUUUGACAUCUCAAAUGAUAUUGACAGUGACAGUGAUCUAUUAAAGCCAGAAAAAUUAUAACAGAUGGCGUUGCUGCAACCUCACAGGAUAGAAUGCGUAUGACAGCAUUAAAACCCAUGAGUGUCAAGAAAAUGUGGUUAUCUCAUAAUGAAUGUACCAUAUUAUCAAAAAUAAUUAUUAGUCUUCUACUCGACGGAUUCGAGCCAAAAAAGUGGAAUUCUUUUUUUCCAAGGUUCUGCAAGAACAGGUUCCACUCAUUAAAAAUUGUGUAUAAAUUCAACUUGAACAAAAUAAUUUUUUUUAAUUUUUGUUGAGUUGAAAUCGUCAUAUAAAUUUUCAUCAACCUAGAUGGCGCCACAGAGAAAUAAUGGUCUAACGCCUUCGUGAUCAACUCAGAAGUGUCUUAACCUGUUCUUUCAGAAGCUUGUUUUUUUCUACAUGUCAAAGUAAAGAAAUUUGAAAUUUUGCGACGCUUUUUAAACAUCGAUAUCUUUUAUAAUAUUUAUCCAAUCUGGAAAAAAAUUGCAUGUUGGUAUUUGUGAGCAACCAAUGUCCAUAAAACUCAAAGUAAAUUUGACAUUACACCACUCCUACACACUUCGACAAAAAAUAUACGAAAAGUGCCGUGAUACGCAUUCUAUCCGGCUGGGGCCGGCGCAGCGUCAUCUCUUAUCAUUUCUCUGGUUAAAGCUAAUUGUAGAUAUAUAUAGAUCUGUGAAAGAAACAUAAUUCAAAAUUUUGUUUUGUUAUGCUGUCACACUUGACAGCAGAACGGAAGAAAAAUCUAAAUUGUGUUUCUAUCGCGUCGCUAUGUGUAACUCUCGCUUCGCUCGUGAUAGAUAUUCGUGUACUUAGCCUAAGUAAAUAAAACUGAACAAUCUGCCAAUGGUAAAUUACAAAGAAAAGCUAUUUUGUAGCUACACAUAUUAACGGGAAAGAGACCUAAUUAAAAUUUUUAUUUUGACUAGUACUUUGACAAAAGAAGAAACGAAAUUUUUGAAUUAGGUCUCUUUUACGUUGCUAUGUGUCGCCUCAGUUACUCCAUCCGAUGUUUUCGGUAUGUAAGCCAUGGCGAGCUGCCGCAAUUUGGGACAUUUGUAAUAUUUAACACAAUACCAUACAAACAAUACUAUUGAACGAGUAUAAAGGAUAUAAACAAACAAAAUAUUAUCAAAAUUACCUAACCAGACACAAUAGCAAUCACGUCAUGUUAUUUUUGAACAGUUUGUCAGGUGGUAAAAUGACUCCAAAUUUUAUCCAUCCAUGCAUACAAAAUUGCAUGUGGUGUGUGUUAUAACUCACACAAAGAAAACAUACCCCCUGUGCGAAGAAAAGCAGAGUCUUAUAUGAUUUUUCAUUAGACUCCAAAUGCCUAUGUUAGUGCUUGCAUAGGGAAAUGUUGUAUGGAAAUUAAAGCUCCAAUGUAAUAGAUUUUCGUAAAUUUCUAUUAUACAUUUCAAGUACAUUUCGUCAUAAAAUUACUAGUGUCAGCGAUCUAUUUUUUUUUAUAGAACCAACUUCACUGCUGUGAUAUCUCAUGGAUAUUUAUCAGAGUGAAGUUUAGUUCAUCUGAAAAUAGAGCGCAAAGAAUGAAGUACUGAAAAAUAAAUUGUGGCGCCUCUACAGGCCAACCGAGGCUUCCUCAUAGAGUUCAUAGAGAACUAACCAGUGCGUUAAGACUUUAGUGUAAAUGUUUCAUUCAUUGUAUUACUGUGUGUGUAAACUUACUGGGUUUUUGUAGAUUUCUUAGAAAAGGCUGUACAAAGAAAAACUGGAUGGUAAGUGAUUGACAAGUACUGGAAGACCACUCAAUCACGGUCUUGCACCAGAAACUGAAAAUUCACUUCGUCAUUCAGUUCAUAACUUAUCGGCAGGUACUGAGGUCUCUCGUUCACAAUAAAUGUUAGUCGAAUAAGUCAAAACAUCAGCGCAAAUAAUUAUUUAUUAAAAGGAACUCAACAACUAAGCUAAUUUGUAGUGAAACAAUUUUGUUCAUUUAUGAGUAUUUGGUUUCUGAUAUUGUGGCGCAUUUGCUUUUCGUAUUAACGAAUAGAUGGUCACAUAUCCGUGCUCGCAUGACUUAUCUUCAAUUUGUUCAACAACUUUAACAACAAAAUAUUUGGCAGCCCGCUUCCAAAAACGAUUUUCUACUCGUUUCCGUUUCUCGGCCGCAAUGAAUAUUUUAGUGCUACCCGAUUCGGUCAAUUCCACCAGUGUUUGGAUGAGAAUGUCGAAGAGUUCCUCAUAGUAAAUCACAUCCGAAGCCAGAAUGAAAUUUUGAUGCAAUAAAUCCGCGUUCAUAAUUUUCUCUCCCCACACCAAUGGUGCGGCUGUGAUGUUGUCGAUUCCGUUCUGAUUGACCUCGAUAUUUUUCAUCAUAUUCGGUACCACUUCGGCGACAUCGGUAACAGUAACUUGAACGUGGCGGCCAAAUAACUUAGAUGCGGCGAUUCCAACGAUACCUGUCCCGGAACCAAUGUCCAGUAUUUUUACCGGUCUGUCCAUUUCUAUCGAUAGAAAUUCACUUUGAUUGCAUUCCAAAUACCUCGAUAGAUACAGAGCUGAUGUCCAACAUCGAUAUCUUAGUCCUAGACUGGGAAAGGUGUAGAUGAGCACCGGUGCUAUUGAUUCGUCGGUGAAUUUGACUGUUUGAAUAAUUGCAUCUGAAAACCAUGAAAAAUUGAAGUACAAUGAGGAUUUAUUACAGCAAUGCCGGCUAACCCACCCACAGAACUUAAUUUUCUUUCUUCAGGCUGCAGAUGACUCAACUUUUCAAAUAGAAACUCGAGAUUUUCUUCGUGGUCUAUAGAAGGUUCCGCGGUUUCCUGUGAUUCAAGCAUUCUCUAAAUGUCUGUUCCCACCUAAGUGAAAAAUCGUUUUUAACAACAGAUUAAAUCCGUGAAUUUUAACAGACAAUUUGUUUGUCACUUACUGAUUUGUCGAAAGAUUUUUCCAGUUUCGUUUCGCAUGUACGAGUCUCCCAAUUUGUUCGUUGUUAAUUCGCACGCGUGUUGCUGUUUUGACAAGCCGAAUCGAACUUCAGCAAAAACUUGAAAAGUCACACGAUUGCUUCACAACACUAUAUUUAAACAGUGACUCAUUGACGACUCUUUUUCUUUAAAAUACACUUUAUUAUCACUACUUCCGAGAUAAAACAAUAAGAUCACCGACACCGUUUCAGUUUCGUUGCACGAACGAUGUGAUUGUAAUAUUAUGUUGUCGCAUAAUAUUCGCUGUUUUUAUCGAAUAAAACGAAAUGCCGCUUGCGUCUGUUCCAUAUCUAAACAAACUCAUAUUCGCGUGUAUAUUUUCGUGUGUAUGUUAGACGAGUUACGAUGGUUACGAUACAUAAACAGUUUCAUAGUAAUGACCGUCACAUUAUGUUGGCGCUGGUAGUAAUUCUACGACACACCGUUUUGAAUGGGCUUUGUAUGGAUAGAUUUGAGUGCGGUUAUUGUUGAUGCUUGCUGGAAAAGAUAUUGGACUUUCGGUCUCGGACAAUUUUUUUGUUUCGUAUGAGGAUGUAACGUGAUUGCGUGUGUUCGUUUGAGAUUUUAUGUUUGGUUAUUUGAUUAAUGUGGACAUUUUUCAACGAUAAACUUUUCGGUCAUGAGCGCU
Bradysia coprophila is the source of this 6711-nucleotide long non-coding RNA. The record is from RefSeq and is a predicted model, not a curated record. NCBI's taxonomy places the organism in Eukaryota, Metazoa, Arthropoda, Insecta, Diptera, Sciaridae.